CAUUUUCUCAAACAACAAAAUGAACUUCUUUUAAGGAAAAGCCAUGCUCUCUUGUCCUUCGUUAUUGAGUGCACAACAAAUUAUUUUUCCAACAAAUGAAAAACAUGGGUGUAAUGGGCUGCAUCAACCGGCUACAUCAACCCUUUUUUCAUGAAAAUGAACCUCUCCAACUAACAUAUGGAACUGCACUAGACCAAACAAAAAUAAAAACAAAAAAAAGUUAAAGAGUUCACUUGUGAAAGAAGCGAACUAGUACAUCAGAAAAAUGACCCGCGCGGAGGAGCGAACCUCUCCAACAUACACAACAAACUACAUCGUCGGAAAAAAUAUUCUUUGCACUUUUUUGAAGCUACGCUCACGAGACACAGGGAGUUCGGCGCAAGGGACUCGCCCACCCCAUGAACCUUUGCUGUCGAUGUACUUCCUAGAGGGGACUGAACCGCAGUGCAUCUUCUCACAUUCUCCCCUAGAAACAAAACAAAAAUGAGAAAAAUGCAAUCGGACCGCAUUUGCUCUUUUCUCCAUGUCUCGAAUACAUGCAAAAUAUCCAUUUGAAAAAUAUACUGGACGGAAGCUUCUAAACCGCACUGCAUUGAUAAAGACUCAUUAAAUUUUCCAAAAAACACAAGAAAAUGUUUUUGAAUAGCAACAACCCUGGAAGGGAUUCACACGGAGAACCGCACGACAUUGCCUUCCACACUGCACACUCGCAUGGCAAGGAGUGCUCCACUAUAUUGCAAGGCAUCACUCUGCCAUCCUUCUCCGACGAGGUGGACUGAAUUCCAUCAUAGCGUCUUUGGGCUCUCGUCGAUGUUCUUUUCCUCUCCUACAAAAAUUAGCAAACUGAAUCGCAAGAACAAGAAUAGGGAACUUCAGUGCGCUAGAGGUUUUCAUCCCAAACAUCAAAAGAGCAAACUGCAACAGCAGCCUCACCUUGCGUGGUUGUCUGUCUGUCAGUGGGGAGCAAAGGAAAAAGGCUCUAGGGGAGGGAGAUGCGGUGGUUCUCCGUCCAGCCCAAAUCGAACAACGAAUACUCGGGAACGGUCAAAUAAUCAUCGGAUUGCAUUGCCAGCAGCGUGUACUGCAAAUAGACAAGCAACCGAGCUGCAGACCAAGCUCCUCACCGACUUCAAGCUGCAAG
Molecule: long non-coding RNA, 1141 nt
Filed under: Triticum aestivum (bread wheat)
Lineage: Eukaryota; Viridiplantae; Streptophyta; Magnoliopsida; Poales; Poaceae
Description: long non-coding RNA (TAES_LNC027722)
Source: RNAcentral